CACAGUCUGCACAAAUCGGCCAAUUAUAGCCCUUUUCAAAAUAAUCAUCUGCGGUGGGAGUUUUGACGAUUAAACGCUGAUAUAUUCUUAAUUUUUCAUAAAACAGUAAAUGCUGUUGAAUGAUGUCAUUGCUCCAUUUAAGCUCCAGCCAGGAAACAUUACAGGAGUGGGCUGAGCGAACCGGUUGCCAUGGCAGCGGAAAACGCCCCACUUCCUGUCCAUCAUGUCCGGUUUCCGCCACUAGAUGUCGCUGUCCAGCCGUCUGCGAAGCCUCAGGACAAACUGAAAUAUUCUGAUGCAGAGGUUCGAGUUCUCACAUUUAGGUGUUAAAUCUGCGAUCUGUGUGUCCGGACUGUGUUGUUUCCAUGGCGACGGGGAGGACAUCGGCAAGUUGACCUCCGACCGAACUGUGACCGGAGCUUCUGCCGGGCUUCAGCUCCGGUUGACUCCCCGACGGUGACGUAGCAGCCGAGCCUCACCUCCGGUCACUCCAGACGCCAUAAAUCUGAAGGAAAGCAGCUCAGAGAGCUUCACCUUCACCGACGUGGGGCUUCUGAAGGAUCGCAUCCAUCAGCUCGGUGGGAACCGAAGCCGAGUCCGUCCGCCAGAGGAAGGGAAAACAAAUACGAGAAGGAAAAAAAAAAUCAAGAAGCAUGAGCUCAUCACCUCAGACUUGGACGGAGGGAAGUGCACUG
Molecule: long non-coding RNA, 695 nt
Organism: Amphiprion ocellaris (clown anemonefish)
Lineage: Eukaryota; Metazoa; Chordata; Actinopteri; Pomacentridae
Exons: 4
Source: RefSeq, a predicted model, not a curated record